Unclassified non-coding RNA from Polistes dominula (European paper wasp), 3615 nucleotides. NCBI's taxonomy places the organism in Eukaryota, Metazoa, Arthropoda, Insecta, Hymenoptera, Vespidae. The record is from RefSeq and is a predicted model, not a curated record.
GCUAGCCACGAUCCUUUCGUCGCACUGACGACGUAUAACUUUCCAUACGAAAGAAAAAGGACUAUUUAUACGACACGAGGGAAUAUAAACACGAAAACGAUAAAAAUAAAAGUAGAAAUUAGAGAUAAAAUAAGAUUAAUAGAAAAAUAAAAGAAAAAAAUAAUUUAUUGACUAUUAGGAUAUAAUAUGCAAGUCUCGUAUAGAGGCUAGUGCAGUUUAGGCUGUGUUUUCUUGGUCCUCUCGAAUUACACCGAACGUGUGCGAGAGUAAAGGGAGAAGAGGGAGAGAGAGAAAGAGAGAGAGAGAGAGAGAGAGAGAAAGAGAGAGAGAGAGAACAGUGACGACCUCGAUCCAGUACACCCCCACAACCAUCUCUUUCGCAUCCCCCCGCGGUUCCACUCGACUUCUAUUUCUCUCUCUCUCUCAUGCUUGCGCGCGCGUGUUCCCACCAGGCACUCUCCUCCUCGUCGCUCCAGCGUGCGCGGCGCUCGACCCUCGGAAAUUCUGAAAGCGGUUCGCGCCUGUGCAACGCGGGGGUGGCGGGGACCGAAAAUUGAGGCUAAAGGAAACUCGACGGAUCCAGCCUAAGGGUCUCUCCUCUCUCUUAGGGUUUCUACUUGCCGCCGCCGCCGUUGUCGUUGUCAUCGUCACUGUCACCGUCACACUGUCACCGUCACCGUCAUCCUUAUUGUUGUCGUCGCUGUUACUGUCGUUGUUGUCGUUGUCGUUGUCGUCGUUGUCGUCAUUUUAACCGUCAUCGUCAUCGGUUUCGUCGUUGUUCUCGUCGUUAUUGAAAUUUGGCCGCGUGCGUACGUGCAUGCGUGCGUGGCUACGUGCGCGCGUUCUCGCUUUUUUUCUCUUUCGUCGUCCUAUUUCUUUUUUUUCGCUGCAAUAAAAGUGGAUAUCUUACAUCAACAGUAGGAUUAUCGAUGCUUUUGGAUUUAGGGAGAAGAAUUUAACUUGGUGAUUGUACUUUCUUGCUUUUAUUUUCCUUGGUUUUUUCUCUCGAGGAAAGAAGAAAGAUGCAAAGGAAAAGGUAAAGAGUGCAGGGGUGACAUCGACGACACGAGCUACCACCGUCGCUGUUACAUUAUCAUCUCGAAGAGCUGACACGGUUUACUUUGAGGAUGUUCACCGACGAAAAGUCUUUAUAAUAUAAUACGGCGGAAAGAGAGUGAAACAAUACAAAGAGAAACAGAAAGAGAAAGAAAGAGAGAUAGUUGGAGAGUGAGAGGAAGAAAGUUAAACUGGAAGUAAGAGACAAAAAGAGAUAAAUUUAAAAAAAAGCUACGAUAUAGAGAAUAAACUGAGUGGUGUAGUACGUUUUCGGGGUACGUGCGCUAGCCGUGGCCGCGAGUGCAGCGGUGUGACGUGACAGUGUACCUGAAGCAGUGAUCGAGGAAGGUCGUGCGUCCUGCGUCUCUUUAAGAGUUUCCUCGAAAGGAUAUCUACGUUUAAGGAUACUCAAGGAACCUUCGAUAACGUAUCUUCGUUGUGUCCGAGUCAAAAAUCAAGUUAGUUCGUUUUUCUUUGUGUGUAUAUCAUAUGAAAACAAAAGAGAACAGGAUCAUCGACGAUCCUGGACAAAGGCGAUGAUCGUCAUGUGUUCUCGACCGCAGCCCUCGGUUGAGGGUUGAAACAACGAACUCGAUAUUGCGAUAUUUUUGUUCUUUUUACUAUCGUGCGUGUGCGCGCGCGCCCACAACAGUGUGUCGGUUGUCGUCGUGGGAAUCAAAAAGGGAGUUCGACGAUAACUUUUUCUUUUCACGACAACGAACUGGUCCCCCUCAGGAGGACCGACCGUGUACCACGUCAUCGAGCUCAAAGAGAACUCGGAACCUCGCAAGAAUGCGGGACCGGCUAUCGUGGUACAUGGUCUUCUUGAUCCUGCCGACAAUUCUCCUGGCCAGGUCGCUCGACAAAGGUCUUUUCAUUUCAGAUCGGCGUAUACCUUACAACAUACCGUCAGACUGGCGAGCACUGUGGUUGAGCAAUUUAGAUGAACUACAAAGAAUCAACGAUGCGAACGACAACAACACUGUAUCGAACGUCACAGUACAAUUGGGUGGCACGGCUUUCUUGCACUGCAAAGUUCGCAAUUCGGCAGACAGAACCGUCUCGGAUGCCGAGAUCUCGUGGAUUCGUCGUCGAGACUUUCACGUUUUAACGAGCUCGACGUCAACUUACACGAACGACGAGCGGUUUCAAGUGUUACACGCCGAAGGUUCGGACGAUUGGACUCUUCAAAUCAAAUACGUCCAAGAAAGAGACAAUGGGACCUACGAGUGUCAGGUCUCGAGGAGAACAGGGAUACUGUCACACUUCGUCAAUCUAAACAUAGUGAUACCAGAGGCAUUUAUAUUAGGGAGCGACGAGCAUCAUGUCGACGUGGGGUCUAUCAUAAAUCUCGUAUGCAUAAUAGAAAAGAGCCCUACGCCACCGCAAUACGUAUUCUGGUAUCACAAUAACCGGAUGAUAAACUACGACACCUCGCGGGGCAGCGUCACCGUACAAACCGAUCCAGGACCAACCCAGAGUCGACUGACGAUACGCCAGGCCGUGGAAUCGGACUCCGGCAAUUACACGUGUAACGCGUCCAAUACCAAGCCUGCAUCCAUCUAUGUCUUCGUUACCGAGGGUGACAAAAUGGCGGCGAUUCAGCGUCGCAAAACGUCGGCCGCAAGGAGGAUCCUGAACGAAAUGCUGCUGACGACUAUGCUCGUGACCAGUCUCCUUCUGGCACGAUAAACGAUUUCACUUCAAAAUGUCCAUAAUUAUUUAAAUCCGUACGACUACUUCCAUUCGCGAUAGAUCGCCGUCGGUCGGGUCUAAUCGGAUAUAUAUGCGAGAAAGAUUUUCGUGGAAGAUUAUUCGAUUGCCUGCCAGGAGUCAUUACGUGCGAGACCGGCACGCGACUCGAAUUAUGUAAAUAAAAAUACGCGUUGGUAAUCGUAAUCGUUGCUCCACGACAAAGCCUACCACCACCACCAUCCCCCAAUAGAAGCAAGCUCCGGAGACACGUCGAGAGAAUCGAAACGUCGUCGUCCGAAUAUGGAUAUUCAAACGCGACGUUCAAAAUCGCAUCGUUUAGUGGGAAAUAUUUCGUUAACCCUUUAACUAUCAAAAGACUUUUAUCACGAAAAAAAUACUCGCAAGAGAAAUACGCCAACUCAAUGAUUUCGAUAUUAACGAAACUUAUGUAAAGGAAUAAGAGUUAAGAAAAAAAAAAAAUCAUAGUGAAAAUUUAAUCAUUUCUUAAUCUUUAUUGAUUAUUAAAUAAUUAUUUUUGUUUCCAACGAUCGUCAAAAUGUAUUCCAAUCAAAAUCGAAAAUACCACUCUUCUCAACGGGUAAAUCAUCAAAAUUAUCAUCUUUUCGUAAAAAUGUUCUAACCGAUGGUCUGUCGACGAUAAGUCAACUUCCAAAGCGAUAUUACCCGCUGUCGAGCAUUAACGUAAGUUAUUGGUCCUCUUUGUCAUCGCUAGAUGGCAAUGCCGUUCAUAUCCUGUCCGUAUAUAAAAAUGGCGAAGACGGGGAAAAUUCAAAUACAUUUUAGCAAGAUGAAGAAAAUAAUUGUUUUAAAAUAAAAAAUAAAAUGUAAAGAAAGAAUGAAGAA